UCUGGUAGUUAUGGCGAGAAGGUCACACCCGUUCCCAUCCCGAACACGGUAGUUAAGCUUCUCUGCGCCAAUAGACGACGCGAGCUUCCCCCAGCU
Molecule: ribosomal RNA, 96 nt
Filed under: Listeria monocytogenes
Lineage: Bacteria; Bacillati; Bacillota; Bacilli; Caryophanales; Listeriaceae
Source: RNAcentral